GAUGAACGCUAGCGGGAGGCCUAACACAUGCAAGCCGAGCGGUAUUGUUUCUUCGGAAAUGAGAGAGCGGCGUACGGGUGCGUAACACGUGUGCAACCUGCCUUUAUCUGGGGGAUAGCCUUUCGAAAGGAAGAUUAAUACUCCAUAAUAUAUUGAACGGCAUCGUUUAAUAUUGAAAGCUCCGGCGGAUAGAGAUGGGCACGCGCAAGAUUAGCUAGUUGGUGAGGUAACGGCUCACCAAGCCGAUGAUCUUUAGGGGGCCUGAGAGGGUGAUCCCCCACACUGGUACUGAGACACGGACCAGACUCCUACGGGAGGCAGCAGUGAGGAAUAUUGGUCAAUGGGUGCAAGCCUGAACCAGCCAUCCCGCGUGAAGGACGACUGCCCUAUGGGUUGUAAACUUCUUUUGUAUAGGGAUAAACCUACCCUCGUGAGGGUAGCUGAAGGUACUAUACGGAUAAGCACCGGCUAACUCCGUGCCAGCCGCCGCGGUAA
This 495-nucleotide ribosomal RNA is filed under the name uncultured bacterium. Its description in RNAcentral is "partial 16S ribosomal RNA". It matches the Rfam family "Bacterial small subunit ribosomal RNA", at positions 28 to 523 of the family's 1533-position model. The record is from RNAcentral.